This 216-nucleotide ribosomal RNA is filed under the name uncultured Glomus. Its description in RNAcentral is "partial small subunit ribosomal RNA". It matches the Rfam family "Eukaryotic small subunit ribosomal RNA", at positions 569 to 788 of the family's 1831-position model. Lineage: Eukaryota; Fungi; Glomeromycota; Glomeromycetes; Glomerales; Glomeraceae. The record is from RNAcentral.
AGCAGCCGCGGUAAUUCCAGCUCCAAUAGCGUAUAUUAAAGUUGUUGCAGUUAAAAAGCUCGUAGUUGAAUUUCGGGACCAAUAUGUUGGUCGUGCCUUUGGUACGUACUAGUUUAUUGGUUUCUUCCUUCUGACGAACCACGAUGUCAUUAAUUUGGUGUCAUGGGGAAUCAGGACUGUUACUUUGAAAAAAUUAGAGUGUUUAAAGCAGGCUUC